Molecule: ribosomal RNA, 523 nt
Filed under: uncultured bacterium
Lineage: Bacteria
Description: partial 16S ribosomal RNA
Rfam family: Bacterial small subunit ribosomal RNA
Source: RNAcentral
GACGAACGCUGGCGGCGUGCCUAAUACAUGCAAGUCGAACGCUUUUUCUUUCACCGGAGCUUGCUCCACCGAAAGGAAAAGAGUGGCGAACGGGUGUGUAACACGUGGGUAACCUGCCCAUCAGAAGGGGAUAACACUUGGAAACAGGUGCUAAUACCGUAUAACACUAUUUUCCGCAUGGAAGAAAGUUGAAAGGCGCUUUUGCGUCACUGAUGGAUGGACCCGCGGUGCAUUAGCUAGUUGGUGAGGUAACGGCUCACCAAGGCAACGAUGCAUAGCCGACCUGAGAGGGUGAUCGGCCACACUGGGACUGAGACACGGCCCAGACUCCUACGGGAGGCAGCAGUAGGGAAUCUUCGGCAAUGGACGAAAGUCUGACCGAGCAACGCCGCGUGAGUGAAGAAGGUUUUCGGAUCGUAAAACUCUGUUGUUAGAGAGGAACAAGGAUGAGAGUAAAAUGUUCAUCCCUUGACGGUAUCUAACCAGAAAGCCACGGCUAACUACGUGCCAGCCGCCGCCGUAA